This 754-nucleotide long non-coding RNA is filed under the name Physcomitrium patens. RNAcentral describes it as "long non-coding RNA (PPAT_LNC005204)". The record is from RNAcentral. Lineage: Eukaryota; Viridiplantae; Streptophyta; Bryopsida; Funariales; Funariaceae.
AUUACUAUCUAACCUUCAACCUACUAACUAUUAAGAUAAGAAAAUAAUCUAAGAGGCUUUUAUAAAAGUAAUAUUUAGAUACCUCAAAUUAUAAUUGAAUUGAGAUAAUUAGAUAUUAAUUAGAAAUUCAAUUUUGAUUAUAGUUUUACUAUAUAGUUGUAUUAUAUCAUAAUAGAGGUCAAUUCUUUUUUUUCUUUGGUUUAACUCAUAUUUUUUCAAGAUUUUAUUUAUGAACUCUAAUAAUUUGAAGUUUAUAGCUUGAAUUAAACUCAAUAAACUAAAAUUUUCUAGAUUGGAUUAGUAAUAAGUGAGCUAUAGAUAUUUUAAUAAGAUGAAGUUUAGAUUUAAGAUUUGAGUUAGAGGUUGGAUACAUCUUGGCACAAGAAAGAAAUUAAUCUAAAUUUAAUACUUAGCUUUUGGCUAUUGUGAUUGUCAUUUUACUUAUUCUACAAUUCCUUUCAGAAUAAACUUGUAUAGGCAAAUUCUAACAUAGGGAAAGACUAAGUACAUGAGUUUUACUUGUUAGGGUUAUACAAUUAACUGUAUUCCAAACUACUAAAAUACCAAAAAAUACUACAAUGCUUUUUCCUAGUAACAAUACUCCAUCAAUUGAUAACAACACUGUGCAACUCUGCACUCUCAAAAUAUUGCUCAAAAUACAAUAAUUUCCAUCCAACACUAGGAAUAACAAACUUCACUCCAACUAUCUAAAUUUACAUAAUUUCUAUAAUCACAAACUUCUUUUGUCUAAAAC